GACGUAGGGGGCCAGCGUUGCUCGGAAUUACUGGGCGUAAAGGGUUCGUAGGCGGUGCGGCAAGUCGGGAGUGAAAUCUCUGGGCUUAACUCAGGGGCUGCUUCCGAAACUGCUGUGCUUGAGUGCGGGAGAGGCGAGUGGAAUUGCAGGUGUAGCGGUGAAAUGCGUAGAUAUCUGCAGGAACACCCGUGGCGAAGGCGGCUCGCUGGACCGUAACUGACGCUGAGGAGCGAAAGCGUGGGGAGCGAACAGG
This 253-nucleotide ribosomal RNA is filed under the name uncultured bacterium. RNAcentral describes it as "partial 16S ribosomal RNA". It matches the Rfam family "Bacterial small subunit ribosomal RNA", at positions 524 to 776 of the family's 1533-position model. The record is from RNAcentral.